Molecule: ribosomal RNA, 582 nt
Filed under: Triticum aestivum (bread wheat)
Lineage: Eukaryota; Viridiplantae; Streptophyta; Magnoliopsida; Poales; Poaceae
Description: partial small subunit ribosomal RNA
Source: RNAcentral
AUGUGGACCAGUCUUCGUCAGCGCUAUGAGCCCUCUGGUGAUGCCUUAUACCUUUCUGUGGUCCGUCAGGAGCAUGCUCUUCAGCAGGGUGACUCUACUGUUGAUGACUUCUAUGCACAAAGUUCUGCUAUCUGGCGCCAGCUUGAUUCUCUCUGCAGUGCUGGUUGUCGUACUUGCCCCUGUUGCCAGGCUAUCCAGGCCAAUUUGGAGUUUCAUCGCGUCUACGAGUUCCUGUCUCGGCUCCGUAAGGAGUUUGAGCCCCGGCGUGCUCAGUUGUUUUCUCGUGGCCGUAUUUCUCUCAUGGAGGCGCUUUCUGAGAUUCGUGCGGAGGAGACUCGCUUACAUGGUGCUGGUUUGCUGGAGGUUCCCUCUGUGCUCGCUACUCGGUCUUCUUCCACGCCACCUGCUGCACCGACCCCUUCUCGCUCGAGUGCUCCGCCGCUCUUGCCCACUCCUUCUAGAGGCUCAGGUCGCCGUCCACAUUGCGAUUACUGCAACAAUGAUGGUCAUAUUGAGUCUCAGUGCUACACGAAGAGGAAACACCUGCGCAAGGCGCGAUCAUCAUCUUCAGGGACUUCGUCA